This is a long non-coding RNA of Phyllostomus discolor (pale spear-nosed bat), 592 nucleotides long. RefSeq lists it as uncharacterized. The transcript is spliced from 3 exons. The record is from RefSeq and is a predicted model, not a curated record. NCBI's taxonomy places the organism in Eukaryota, Metazoa, Chordata, Mammalia, Chiroptera, Phyllostomidae.
CAUACCAAAAUAUAUAUUAUAGUUACUUCAAGACACAAAAAACCAUAUUUUUACACAAGCUAAUUAAGUUUUUUACAUCUCCAAAAAGCCUAUCAAGACCUAACCAAAGUCUUUGCAAAGAAAGAUACGAUUAACUUCUAAAAGAAGCUUCUAAAAAUGUUUCUUUUCAGACCAGUGUUCUCUCUUAAAAGUCAAGUUAAUCUUCAAUCUGUUUUACUUCAGUUAAUUAUAAAUUAUCUGAGAAUAAUAAUACAGUUCUACCUCCUUAUUUACCAGGUGAACAUAAAGUGAUUACUUAACAAUGCCUUGUAUUUAUAUAGCUGUGUGUUCUUAUACAUCACUUAAUUUUCUCUUAAUAAAAAUUAGGAGACAAACAACAUAUGUAGCAUAUGGAUACUUUACACUUAAAGAAGCAUCUGUAUAAAAGUAACUUGUCCUAAAUCACAUGGGUAAUAAAUGACCAAAUGGCCUUUUGACAACUAGAGUCCAAAGUUCUACCAUAUACCAACUUGUCUUCUUUUUGUAUUAAAAAGUGGGAAAAUAAUUUCAUUUGUGAAUAUUUACUCAAAGAAAAGAACAAAUGUGUAAAUGG